RNAcentral lists this ribosomal RNA (454 nucleotides) under uncultured bacterium. RNAcentral's name for it is "partial 16S ribosomal RNA". It matches the Rfam family "Bacterial small subunit ribosomal RNA", at positions 28 to 507 of the family's 1533-position model. The record is from RNAcentral.
GAUGAACGCUGACAGAAUGCUUAACACAUGCAAGUCUACUUGAACUUCGGUUUGGGUGGCGGACGGGUGAGUAACGCGUACAGAACUUGCCUCACAGAUAGGGACAACAUUUGGAAACGAAUGCUAAUACCUGAUAUUAUGAUUUUAGGGCAUCCUAGAAUUAUGAAAGCUAUAUGCACUGUGAGAGAGCUUUGCGUCCCAUUAGCUAGUUGGAGAGGUAACGGCUCACCAAGGCGAUGAUGGGUAGCCGGCCUGAGAGGGUGAUCGGCCACAAGGGGACGGAGACACGGCCCUUACGCAUACGGGAGGCAGCAGUGGGGAAUAUUGGACAAUGGACCAAGAGUCUGAUCCAGCAAUUCUGUGUGCACGAUGAAGUUUUUCGGAAUGUAAAGUGCUUUCAGUUGGGAAGAAAAAAAUGACGGUACCAACAGAAGAAGUGACGGCUAAAUACGUG